RNAcentral lists this ribosomal RNA (494 nucleotides) under uncultured bacterium. Its description in RNAcentral is "partial 16S ribosomal RNA". It matches the Rfam family "Bacterial small subunit ribosomal RNA", at positions 28 to 507 of the family's 1533-position model. The record is from RNAcentral.
GACGAACGCUGGCGGCGUGCCUAAUACAUGCAAGUCGAACGGUUUAGUUCCAAGAGGCUUGCCUUUUGGAACUAGACAGUGGCGGACGGGUGAGUAACACGUAGGCAACCUACCUGUCAAACCGGGAUAACCUCGGGAAACCGAAGCUAAACCCGGAUAAGCUCCUUUUUCGCAUGAAGGGGGAGUGAAAAGGUGCGACCUGAUGACAGAUGGGCCUGCGGCGCAUUAGCUAGUAGGUAGGGUAACGGCCUACCUAGGCGAUGAUGCGUAGCCGACCUGAGAGGGCGUACGGCCAGACUGGGACUGAGAUACGGCCCAGACUCCUACGGGAGGCAGCAGUAGGGAAUCUUCGGCAAUGGGCGAAAGCCUGACCGAGCAACGCCGGGCGAGUGAGGAAGGCCUUCGGGUUGUAAAACUCUGUUGUUUGGGAAGAAGGGAAAGGGUAGGACCCUUAGGUGACGGUACCAAACGAGAAAGCCCCGGCUAACUACGUG